GCCAGGUGUCAUCUGAAACUGGCCCCUGGACACCAGGGACAGGAAGAGACCCAAGAAAGAGACCGGCCACUCCAGAUUGGUGGUGGCAGUUUUAAUAAGCAGAGGGAACUUGCUCAGGAGGCUUGCCUUGGAUGGCUUUAGGAUGGUAGAUCUCUGCACCUGCCCCGGCCAAAUCAGAAAAGAUUACAUGGAGCCCUUCACUGGGCUCAGUCACCGAUACUGUGCAGAGGGUCAGCACCACACAUUACCUGAAGGCUGUGUCCUUGGGGCAGCUUCUGGGAGCCUGGAAGGCCGGUUGAUCACAAAUCACAAGCACAAGGUGGGUGGCUGAGGGAGUGAGGAGACUUCCGCUGCCGAGGUUCAGCUCACUGGUCGACCUGCGGUCCUGUCUUUUUGAUGACCUCUUCCAGCAGUGUUGCUCAAUUCUUUGUAGAGGAUAUGUAUUUCUUGAAGCUUUGAGCAUCUUUUCUUUACCCCCAGGUUCUGAAAUGUUAUAAUUAUGAACUACUGUGUGUGCCUGUUUUUAUUUCUCGUGCUGCUUGCAGCAUUUGUGUACAUGAGGAUGGUCUCUUCCUUUUGUUCACUGGCUGUGGUCUGGCUUGAAUCAUACCAUCAAGGUUCUCAUUGGAGAGUGCAUUGGAAUACAUUUUCACUGAAUAUUGAAAAUUUUUUGAAACAAGAGAUCGACGACUAUAUUCAAAAUUUCGAACACAUUUUUCAACUCUUAACUGGCCAUUUAUUUUCACUUGAGAAACCUCCUGAAGAUUCAGCCUACUGA
This 778-nucleotide long non-coding RNA is filed under the name Vulpes vulpes (red fox). RNAcentral's name for it is "lncRNA (ENSVVUG00000024571.1)". The record is from RNAcentral. Lineage: Eukaryota; Metazoa; Chordata; Mammalia; Carnivora; Canidae.